This is a long non-coding RNA of Hippocampus zosterae (dwarf seahorse), 1914 nucleotides long. RefSeq lists it as uncharacterized. NCBI's taxonomy places the organism in Eukaryota, Metazoa, Chordata, Actinopteri, Syngnathiformes, Syngnathidae. The record is from RefSeq and is a predicted model, not a curated record. The transcript has 3 exons.
CGAAGAUGUCAGUGCUUAUGUCAACAUUGGCUCUUGAUAGUUCUGUUAAAAUCUAACUAAUUAUGGCAUCAAAGCCGGUGGAGUGUGUAAAUUUGCUGUCAGUGUGGGAAUACAGAAUAAUUUUGGGGAUUAUUGUUUUUGGCACAGCACAUAUGUAUCAAGAAGCAUCAAUUAUUUGCUCAAAUUCACUCUUCACAGACUGGCUCAUUCCCAAAUUAGGCCAGCACACUGUCGUAGGAUGCAGGCUGAACAACUAUCGAUGUAGUUAGGACAUCUGCUUCCCAGUUCUGAGGUUUUGGGUGUCUUUUGUUGUACAGCAAAAUAGACAGUAUAUAUGCAUAUUUUUUUGUGCAGAUUUUCAUCUGGCACUGUAUUUUACGAACAUUUAGUUUGAUACCAUGUGCCAAUUCCUGUUAGCGCUCAAGUGUAGUGUGCAUCCUGUACCUGUGCAGGUACUCUGUCUACCUCCCACUCAAAACUGUACGUAUUCUUUGGAUUUUUUUAAACACACAUUACUUCGAAAUCCUUCAGUCAGGACGUUUGCGCACAGUGCCACACUGCCAGCCCCCACCCCACCCAAUAUGACGUUUCCAUGCUAUAGCUACUUAUUGCCUAUCGAGCAGUGGUCGGGAACUCCGGUUCUUCUUGAGGCAUAUCCUGCCCGUUUUCGAUCCCUCCCCACACCAACGCACCUGAUUCAAAGGAUCAUCAUCAGCAAGCGCUGUAGAAGCAUGAAACGAUCAAGAUCAAUUGACUCAGGUGUGUUGGAUUAGGGAGAGCUCGGAAACAAGCAGGAUAUGGAUCUCUAGGAACCGGAUUUCCCGACCCCUUCUCUAUUGGAAGCCUUUUUUCUCCACCCCCUCAUUCAAGCACAGCGGAGCUCCUUGAGCCCAACCAUGUGAGCAGUCUCAGCGAGCAUCCUUGGGCCCAUUAAUUCGCAAAAGUCGUCGAAGUCCACGUGGCCACCCCCUGCAGAAGGACAAAGCAAACUAACCGAGUUCGCAAACGCAGCCACCCACCACCACACUUUUCAUGCAAAGCUGGAAGCCGGGAAGACAAGGUCCGCAUGAACAUGAAUUUGGAACGAUUAAGGUGGAGCAAAGCCGGAGUUUUAGUUACUAAAGAGUUAAUUCAGGGCAGGAAGGCAUCCUGAGGCAUCCCGGUAACUUCCCCAAAAACAAAUAGACUUGUUUUCAAAGAGUGACAAGUGCUUUGUUUGUUGCCCAUGAGGGCAAUUGCAAAUGAUUUGCCUCAGUCCUCAAAACAAUGGUCUCAUUUGCAUACGUUUAAACACGUUCUGGAUGUAAUUUGCAAAUGUUAAUUGAGAUGAUUUUGAAAGAUGAACCAAAAAUUAAAGGCAUAAUCUUAUUAAAAUGAGUGUGCCUUAAGUAAAACAAAACUAUAAAAAAAAUGUUGGAAUCGCACAGGCCUACCCGAUGCACAAUUUGUCUCCUUAACCAUCAUCAUAUUCACAUUGGGAAGCGAGAAACAUGAAAGCUCACUCGUCCUUGUAUAAGACGUAUGGCGAUGCUGCUUGGCACAUACCCCUGGGAUAUCUAUAACCUCAAAGAAACCUGACUGGCACAGUAGUUUAACAGGCGUAUAAAAUCUCUGAUCAUUUUUUUCCCCCUUUCGUGCAGCUGUAUAAAAUGAAACUGAAGGCUGUAUAAUCAAGUCAAAAGUAACAAAUACGACCCAAUAUUUGUAGCAUUUGCAAAUUGACCUUUACUGCCAUUCUUUUUCACCUGCCACUUGCAAUCCCUUCUUGGUAAUUUUAAGGUUCUUAGAGUGACCAUUUGUCAAAAAAAGGGGGGGGGGGGCACAUGAGUAAAUAAAUACACCAUUGUAUUUAAUAAUCCCACUUAAGAAUGAACAAGAAUAUAACUCAGGCGGGUGCAGAAAUGCGCCAAGGCC